AAAACGGCUCUUUUCAGAGCCACUACAAAGUAUACCAAAUGGUUCUU
Molecule: non-coding RNA, 47 nt
Organism: Acromyrmex echinatior (Panamanian leafcutter ant)
Lineage: Eukaryota; Metazoa; Arthropoda; Insecta; Hymenoptera; Formicidae
Source: Rfam